Molecule: ribosomal RNA, 374 nt
Filed under: uncultured organism
Description: partial 16S ribosomal RNA
Rfam family: Bacterial small subunit ribosomal RNA
Source: RNAcentral
GGGGGGUGCAAGCGUUAUUUGGAAUUAUUGGGCGUAAAGGGCGCGUAGGCGGUCUCUAAAGUCAGAUGUGAAAGCCCGGGGCUUAACCCCGGAAGUGCAUUUGAAACUCAGGGACUUGAGUAUGGGAGAGGGAAGUGGAGUUCCUGGUGUAGCGGUGAAAUGCGUAGAUAUCAGGAGGAACACCAGUGGCGAAGGCGACUUCCUGGACCAAUACUGACGCUAAGGCGCGAAGGCGUGGGGAGCAAACAGGAUUAGAUACCCUGGUAGUCCACGCAGUAAACGGUGAACACUAGGUGUAGCGGGUAUUGACCCCCCUGCUGUGCCGCAGCUAACGCAUUAAGUGUUCCGCCUGGGGGAGUACGAUCGCAAGAUUA